RNAcentral lists this ribosomal RNA (429 nucleotides) under Bacteroidota bacterium. RNAcentral describes it as "Bacteroidetes bacterium partial 16S ribosomal RNA". It matches the Rfam family "Bacterial small subunit ribosomal RNA", at positions 355 to 776 of the family's 1533-position model. Lineage: Bacteria; Pseudomonadati; Bacteroidota. The record is from RNAcentral.
UAGGGAAUCUUCGGCAAUGGGGGGAACCCUGACCGAGCAACGCCGCGUGAGUGAAGAAGGUUUUCGGAUCGUAAAGCUCUGUUGUUAAGGAAGAACGAGUGUGAGAAUGGAAAGUUCAUGCUGUGACGGUACUUAACCAGAAAGGGGCGGCUAACUACGUGCCAGCAGCCGCGGUAAUACGUAGGUCCCGAGCGUUGUCCGGAUUUAUUGGGCGUAAAGCGAGCGCAGGCGGUUAGAAAAGUCUGAAGUGAAAGGCAGUGGCUCAACCAUUGUAGGCUUUGGAAACUGUUUAACUUGAGUGCAGAAGGGGAGAGUGGAAUUCCAUGUGUAGCGGUGAAAUGCGUAGAUAUAUGGAGGAACACCGGUGGCGAAAGCGGCUCUCUGGUCUGUAACUGACGCUGAGGCUCGAAAGCGUGGGGAGCGAACAGG